This 399-nucleotide ribosomal RNA is filed under the name Metromonas sp. RNAcentral describes it as "partial small subunit ribosomal RNA". It matches the Rfam family "Eukaryotic small subunit ribosomal RNA", at positions 582 to 975 of the family's 1831-position model. Lineage: Eukaryota; Cercozoa; Imbricatea; Metromonadea. The record is from RNAcentral.
AUUCCAGCUCUAGUAGCGUAUAUUAUUACUGUUGUAGUUAAAAAGCUCGUAGUUGAAUAUCUGGCGUUGGGAAGCCCUGCCCGCCGCGAUUCGCGUGUGAGUUGUGGGGCGUCCCCGCCAUCCUGUGUGGGAGCCCGCCUACCCUUCAUUGGGCCGGGCGGUGCGAGCACACUCAGUUACUUUGAGAAAAUCUGCGCGUUCAAAGCAGGCACACGCUAUGAAAGCUUCAGCAUGGAAUAACAAGAUAGGACCUGGGUCUCUAUUUUGUUGGUUUCUAGGAUCGAGGUGAUGAUUGAUAGGGACAGUUGGGGGUGCUUGUAUUUAACGGCCAGAGGUGAAAUUCUUGGAUUCGUUAAAGACAAACUACUGCGAAAGCAUUCACCAAGGAUGUCUUCAUCA